AACGGCAGCGGGGGCUUCGGCCUGCCGGCGNGUGGCGAACGGGUGAGUANUGCAUCGNANCGUGCCCAUGUCGUGGGGGAUAACGUAUCGAAAGGUACGCUAAUACCGCAUACGUCCUGAGGGAGAAAGCGGGGGAUCUUCGGACCUCGCGCGAUUGGAGCGGCCGAUGUCGGAUUAGCUAGUAGGUGAGGUAAAGGCUCACCUAGGCGACGAUCCGUAGCGGGUCUGAGAGGAUGAUCCGCCACACUGGGACUGAGACACGGCCCANACUCCUACGGGAGGCAGCACUGGGGAAUUUUGGACAAUGGGCGCAAGCCUGAUCCAGCCAUGCCGCGUGAGUGAAGAAGGCCUUCGGGUUGUAAAGCUCUUUCGGCCGGGAAGAAAUCGUGGUCUCUAACAUAGGNCAUGGAUAACGGUACCGGACUAAGAAGCACCGGCUAACUACGUGCCA
Molecule: ribosomal RNA, 451 nt
Filed under: uncultured bacterium
Lineage: Bacteria
Description: bacterial SSU rRNA
Rfam family: Bacterial small subunit ribosomal RNA
Source: RNAcentral